RNAcentral lists this ribosomal RNA (253 nucleotides) under uncultured bacterium. RNAcentral describes it as "partial 16S ribosomal RNA". It matches the Rfam family "Bacterial small subunit ribosomal RNA", at positions 524 to 776 of the family's 1533-position model. The record is from RNAcentral.
UACGAAGGGGGCUAGCGUUGUUCGGAAUCACUGGGCGUAAAGCGCAUGCAGGCGGAUCGAUAAGUCGGGGGGGAAAGCCCGAGGCUCAACCUCGGAACUGCCUUCGAUACUGUCGAUCUUGAGUCCGGGAGAGGUGAGUGGAACUCCGAGUGUAGAGGUGAAAUUCGUAGAUAUUCGCAAGAACACCAGUGGCGAAGGCGGCUCACUGGCCCGAUACUGACGCUGAGGCACGAAAGCGUGGGGAGCAAACAGG